AGAGUUUGAUCAUGGCUCAGGACGAACGCUGGCGGCGCGCUUAACACAUGCAAGUCGUGCGAUACCUUGAGCGAGUCUUACGACAAGUUCAAGGUAGAGCGGCGGACGGGUGAGUAACACGUGAGUAGCUGUCCUAAGGAGGGGGAUAACGCCUGGAAACGGGUGCUAAAACCCCAUAUGCCUCGCAAGAGGUGAAAGUGUAGCUUGCUACAGCCUUAGGGUGUGCUCGCGGCCUAUCAGCUAGUUGGUGAGGUAACGGCUCACCAAGGCUAAGACGGGUAGCCGGCCUGAGAGGGUGUACGGCCACACUGGAAUUGAGAUACGGUCCAGACUCCUACGGGAGGCAGCAGUGGGGAAUCUUGGGCAAUGGGCGAAAGCCUGACCCAGCGACGCCGCGUUGGGGAUGAAACCCUUUGGGGUGUAAACCCAUGUUGUAGGGGACGAAGAAAGUGACGGUACCCUACGAGGAAGCCCCGGCUAACUACGUGCCAGCAGCCGCGGUAAGACGUAGGGGGCGAGCGUUGUCCGGAAUUACUGGGCGUAAAGGGCACGCAGGCGGUGCGCCAAGUCGAGGGUGUAAAGUUACGGCUUAACCGUGACAUUGCAAUCGAUACUGGCGCGCUGGAGUGCGGGAGAGGGAAGUGGAAUUCCCGGUGUAGCGGUGAAAUGCGUAGAUAUCGGGAGGAACGCCAGUGGCGAAGGCGGCUUCCUGGCCCGCGACUGACGCUCAUGUGCGAAAGCCAGGGGAGCGAACCGGAUUAGAUACCCGGGUAGUCCUGGCCGUAAACGAUGGGUGCUAGGUGUAGGCGCGUCAAGCGUCUGUGCCGAAGUUAACGCGAUAAGCACCUCGCCUGGGGAGUACGGUCGCAAGGCUGAACUCAAUGAAUUGACGG
This 893-nucleotide ribosomal RNA is filed under the name Synergistetes bacterium enrichment culture clone L55B-54. RNAcentral describes it as "bacterial SSU rRNA". It matches the Rfam family "Bacterial small subunit ribosomal RNA", at positions 8 to 916 of the family's 1533-position model. The record is from RNAcentral. Lineage: Bacteria; Thermotogati; Synergistota.